RNAcentral lists this ribosomal RNA (450 nucleotides) under uncultured bacterium. RNAcentral describes it as "bacterial SSU rRNA". It matches the Rfam family "Bacterial small subunit ribosomal RNA", at positions 329 to 793 of the family's 1533-position model. The record is from RNAcentral.
AGCCAGACUCCUACGGGAGGCAGCAGUGGGGGAUAUUGCACAAUGGGGGGAACCCUGAUGCAGCGACGCCGCGUGGGUGAAGGAGCGUUUCGGCGCGUAAAGCCCUAUCGGCAGGGAAGAAGGAGGACGGUACCUGACUAAGAAGCCCCGGCUAACUACGUGCCAGCAGCCGCGGGAAUACGUAGGGGGCAAGCGUUAUCCGGAUUUACUGGGUGUAAAGGGGGCGCAGACGGCGAUGCAAGCCAGGAGUGAAAGGCCGGGGCCCAACCCCGGGACUGCUCUUGGAACUGCGUGGCUGGAGUGCAGGAGGGGCAGGCGGAAUUCCUGGUGUAGCGGUGAAAUGCGUAGAUAUCAGGAGGAACACCGGUGGCGAAGGCGGCCUGCUGGACUGCAACUGACGGUGAGGCCCGAAAGCGUGGGGAGCAAACAGGAUUAGAUACCCGUGUAUAA